Pelobates cultripes (western spadefoot toad) is the source of this 334-nucleotide non-coding RNA. NCBI's taxonomy places the organism in Eukaryota, Metazoa, Chordata, Amphibia, Anura, Pelobatidae. The record is from the annotation of a GenBank genome assembly.
AUCCCGACAGGGAUUCCCAUUGUCCCCCCUCCUCUGCAUUCUAGCACUGGAACCACUAACCCAAAUUAUUCAAGAUGACCCGAACAUCCAUGGCAUCAACCUCCAAGGUCGCAAACACAAACUAUCCCUGUUUGCGGAUGAUAUUCUACUAGCACUAGAAUAGCCACACAUAUCCCUACCCAACUUCCACAAUUCUUUGCUCAAUACAGCCAAUGCUCCUACUACAAACUAAACGUGGCCAAAACACAAGAAAUAGGCAUACACAUCCCGAAGCAUGACAUGACCACUUUGACACAAAACUACGCAUAUGAUUGGCGCAGAGACCACAUCAAAU